GACGAACGCUGGCGGCGCGCUUAACACAUGCAAGUCGAACGGAAAGGCCUGCUUUCCCUUGUGGAUUGCGGGUACUCGAGUGGCGAACGGGUGAGUAACACGUGAGUGAUCUGCCCCCAACUUGGGUAUAAGCCUGGGAAACCGGGUCUAAUUCCCGAUAGGACUGCAGGGUGGUGCCUGUGGUGGAAAACGAUUUUCUAGUGGUUGGGGAUGAGCUCGCGGCCUAUCAGCUUGUUGGUGGGGUAAUGGCCUACCAAGGCGGCGACGGGUAGCCGGCCUGAGAGGGUGGACGGCCACAUUGGGACUGAGAUACGGCCCAGACUCCUACGGGAGGCAGCAGUGGGGAAUAUUGCACAAUGGGCGGAAGCCUGAUGCAGCGACGCCGCGUGGGGGAUGACGGCCUUCGGGUUGUAAACUCCUUUCGACCGCGAGGAAGCCACCUGGUUGGAAGGGUGGUGACGGUAGUGGUAGAAGAAGCACCGGCUAACUACGUG
Molecule: ribosomal RNA, 494 nt
Filed under: uncultured bacterium
Lineage: Bacteria
Description: partial 16S ribosomal RNA
Rfam family: Bacterial small subunit ribosomal RNA
Source: RNAcentral